UCGUACCCAAUGUAUAUAUAAGGUGAACAUUAUAAAAAAGCUAUAGUUAUACUUUAUAAUAAAUGAACAAUAUAGUAUAUAGAUAAGAUUACAGUGAACAAAUGUGUGUAAGCCUUGGAUAUUAACCAUAUGUGCAGGCAAAAUCCCUAUACAUGACGCUAGAAAACUACUUGUUUUCAUCUUGAACCAACUUAAAUGAAAGUGAUAUUGAUCAGUGUAGACUUUCAUUAACCAUCUACAUAACACCAGGGCGUGAAGGAAUAAAUGAAUUACUGGUAGAUGUGGUUUCGGCUAUGAGCAACCAUGUCUAAAGAGCAUUAUAGUAACACAACUGUAAGUUUAUCAAUUAAUCCACUCUACUCCCCAAAACUAUUUGGCUUUUCCAUCUAACCUCUUGAAGGAUCUUUUGUCUUACUUGAUUACCACAAAACUAUUAAAAAUUUCAUUCCAUACAAGUUUAAACUGGAAUCCACACU
This 476-nucleotide long non-coding RNA is filed under the name Setaria viridis. RNAcentral describes it as "long non-coding RNA (SVIR_LNC011209)". The record is from RNAcentral. Lineage: Eukaryota; Viridiplantae; Streptophyta; Magnoliopsida; Poales; Poaceae.